Molecule: ribosomal RNA, 449 nt
Filed under: uncultured bacterium
Lineage: Bacteria
Description: bacterial SSU rRNA
Rfam family: Bacterial small subunit ribosomal RNA
Source: RNAcentral
GUCGAGAAUCUUUCACAAUGGGGGCAACCCUGAUGGAGCGACGCCGCGUGGAGGAUAAGGUCUUCGGAUUGUAAACUCCUGUCAUGCGUGAACAAGGUUGCUUGGAUAAUACCUGAGCAAAUUGAUGGUAGCGCAAGAGGAAGAGACGGCUAACUCUGUGCCAGCAGCCGCGGUAAUACAGAGGUCUCAAGCGUUGUUCGGAAUCACUGGGCGUAAAGGGUGCGUAGGUGGCGUGGCAAGUCAGAUGUGAAAGCCCGGGGCUCAACCUCGGAACUGCAUCCGAUACGGCCAUGCUAGAGUACUGGAGGGGUGACUAGAAUUCUCGGUGUAGCAGUGAAAUGCGUAGAUAUCGAGAGGAAUACCAAAGGCGUAGGCAGGUCACUGGACAGUUACUGACACUGAGGCACGAAGGCCAGGGGAGCGAACGGGAUUAGAAACCCGAGUAGUCC